This 318-nucleotide ribosomal RNA is filed under the name Peripatopsis sedgwicki. RNAcentral describes it as "eukaryotic LSU rRNA". It matches the Rfam family "Eukaryotic large subunit ribosomal RNA", at positions 704 to 946 of the family's 3401-position model. The record is from RNAcentral. Lineage: Eukaryota; Metazoa; Onychophora; Udeonychophora; Euonychophora; Peripatopsidae.
AAGCCCGAAGGCGCAAUGAAAGUGAACCUUGGGCGGGAUCCCGUCACCCUUUUCCUUUUUAAAUCUUAUGAAACACGGGGGGAAAAGGUUGUGCGGGCGCACCGCCGGCCCGUCUCGUUCGGUCGGCUCGAUCUCUCUCACCGGGGAUCGGUCGACGGAGGCGGAGCGAGAGCGUAUACGUUAGGACCCGAAAGACGGUGAACUAUUCCCGGACAGGACGAAGCCGGAGGAAACUCCGGUGGAGGUCCGCAGCGAUUCUGACGUGCAAAUCGAUCGUCGGAUCCGGGUAUAGGGGCGAAAGACUAAUCGAACCGUCUA